Non-coding RNA from Oryzias latipes (Japanese medaka), 2811 nucleotides. The record is from RefSeq and is a predicted model, not a curated record. Lineage: Eukaryota; Metazoa; Chordata; Actinopteri; Beloniformes; Adrianichthyidae.
CAUCCGUCAUCACCAAGCGCCACCACUGACGCAAACAUCCUGCUCCUGCUCCUUGAUCUGCUCUGUGUUUACUUCUAAGCAGUUUUUUAAAAUACAGAUUGAAUCAGCCGUGGACGCCGCAGUCUGUUAGCUGUUUUCUGUGUUUGGACCCCCGCCAGGAGCCGAACUCUGGAGAUGGACAGCGAAAUCCAGCGAGACGGGAGAGUCCUGGACCUCACCGAUGACGCUUGGAGGGAAGACAAGCUGCCCUACGAAGACGUCACCGUGCCGCUGAGUGAACUUCCUGAAGCUGAGCAGGACAACGGCGGGUCCACAGAAUCGGUGAAGGAGCAGGAGAUGAAGUGGACGGACCUGGCCCUGCAGAGCCUGCAUGAGAACACGCCGAGCUCUGGAAGCUGAAGAGUUGAUCCUCCUUUCCUUCAUUUCAUUGUUUCGUGUAACAUUUGUCAUGAAUUGUAUGUUAUCUGAGCUCAACUUUGAUGCUUUUGUGUGACGUAUUUUUAUGUUGAAAUGCAUUUCCUUGAAUUUUUUUGUUUUGUUUAAUUUCCUAAGAUCUACACGUUUUCCUUUGAUGUUCUGGUUGAUUUUUCUCUAAUAUUCAUAUAAAUUAUUAUGCCAGGAAUAUCAUCUCAUUGCAGUUCUAGACCUGUUUAGUCAAAUUUAUUGUCUUUGAAAAGUUUCUAAGAAAAACACGCAUUUCUGACAAACAGGAAUAUUUUAUUUUAGCUACAAUCAUCUUUAUUUCUAUACCACCUUUCAUCAACAAGGUGCUUUACAUAAAAGACGUAUAUAAACAUAGUUUGAACAAUAAAAAGUCAUGACACAAUAGAUUAAAUGCAACAAAAGGACACAAUAAAGCUGAUUUGGUGUUUUUUAAUUUUUUUUAAAAAUAUCAACCAGUAUGUUUUAGAUUUGACUGCAUUUACAACUAUAGGAUUUCCUGUUAGUAAGUACUAAAAGUCAAAAUUUUAAGGAGUUAAAAAAUAAACAUCUGAAAUGUUACUUUUAGGUUUGAUUUAAAAAAACAAAACAAAUGUAAUGUAUUUACCGGUAAUUAUUUUCUUACCCUAAAACAGAAAAAACAUUUCACGUUGUGAUGUUUAUGUUGUUUAUCAACUGAAUACUUCUAUUUUACUUUAAAUAGUGUGCAGGUUCAACAAAAUUUGGUGGCAUUUCUUUUAUAAUGAAAUGAAUUAGAAAUGUGGUUUCUCAUUUUAAGAUUUUUUUUCUUAAUUUAUAAUGACGAGAAUGAUUGGUGACGAGAGCAAAAAGAGGAAACUGUCUCCGAGGUCAAACAAACUGAUUAAUCUCUAUUAGAAAAUUAAUGUAAUUCACCGGGUUAAAUGUGUUCGCUGUAUUUCCGUUUUAAAAUCUUUUUGGUCUGAAUAAUUUUAUUUUCACGUCGUCUGAAAAAGUUUAAAUUAGAUCAGACGUGUUUAAACAGAUGCAAAAAACAUAAAGAAAACUCUUCGUGUGCGGUUUUGGCUGCCUCGCCAUUUGCACUCCGCUCGCUUUUGGCUCAUUUCCCCACAGAACACGCGAUUCAUGAACGCAGCACAUCACAAUGGCCUGUUUGCUCACGAGCGCAGAAAAGGAGUCCGCGUGCAGAGCCGCACGAGGAACGAGCAGGCAACAGGAGGCUGUUUGGACCGUGUGCACACACGAAACCCCUACAAACAUCCCAAAAAAUAAGAAUGUUGGUCUAAUUAUCCAAAAAAAAAUUGAUAAUCACCUUUUUUUAGGUGUUUUGUAAAAGUAAAACAAAUUUAAAUGUUUAUUAAACUCAACACUAAAUAUUAUUGCCUUUAUUUUCACGAUAUUUCCAGAAUUAAACUUCAGCUUUUAACAAUUGGGAUAUUCUUAAAAAUAAUGUAAACGGACAUUUACUUAAAAAAGUUGAUAUCGAGGUUUUGUAUUUAGUAGAUUAGUGUUUUAUUGUUUGUUAGGGAAAUCCUAAUAGUUCAAUAGACAGAUAAUUUUUUGGAGAUAAAAACUUUUGUUUUGUUUUUUUGUGCCAUGUUAUGUUUUACUUCCUUUUUUAUGUUUUAAUAUGUAAACCAUUUUUAUUUGUAUGAUUCUAUACUGUUGUUUAUGCUCAUUAAGCCUUUUGGACAAACUUUUUUUUAUUAUUUUUAUUCACAAAAGGUGCCAACAAAACAAAUGUUCCUCGCGCCUGUUUGAGUACUCUUGACUUAUUAAAUAACUCACGGGAGUGAAAAAAGGUUUAGGAUUUAUUGUUCUGGAAAACAGCCUUAUAUAAUAUUUAAAAAACAAAGUGUCCUUGGAUGAAAAUUUGUUUUCCCGCAGCUGAGUGUUUCUCUAAAGUCGUGUGCACAGACCUUUAAUGAUCUGCGCCGUUGCAGCGUGACUGGCGUGUUUUGCACCCGGUUCUGUUUUCCUCUGAGCCCUAUAAAAGACCCGCCCCUUUCCAUUCAUUCACACCGACUCGACUCUGACAGACGGACCUGCAGCGGCUCUCUAAAGGAUCAAGCAGCCUUUAAAGAAAAAUAAUAAUGGACCCCUGCGACUGCUCCAAAACUGGAAAAUGCAACUGCGGCGGCUCUUGCACCUGCACAAACUGCUCCUGCACCAGCUGCAAGAAAAGCUGCUGUGCAUGCUGCCCAUCCGGCUGCACUAAGUGCGCAUCUGGCUGCGUGUGCAAAGGGAAGACCUGCGACACUACUUGUUGUCAGUGAAGAAUCUGCUGCACUUCCACCCUUUGGAUUUAACGUGCCAUUUGUCCAUGUUGUCUAGAGAAAUGUGUUUUGUACUUUGUCUGUAAUUUCUGAAUAAAUGUCUUAAAGCAUUAAA